Molecule: small RNA, 29 nt
Filed under: Bombyx mori (domestic silkworm)
Lineage: Eukaryota; Metazoa; Arthropoda; Insecta; Lepidoptera; Bombycidae
Description: ovarian small RNA-14092
Source: RNAcentral
CCUUCGGCCAAAAAAGCGUCCGCCGCUUC